UACAGAGGUCUCAAGCGUUGUUCGGAUUUACUGGGCGUAAAGGGCGCGUAGGCGGCCACCGCAAGUCAGUUGUGAAAUCUCUGGGCUUAACCCAGAAAGGUCAACUGAUACUGCGGGGCUAGAGUGCAGAAGGGGCAACUGGAAUUCUCGGUGUAGCGGUGAAAUGCGUAGAUAUCGAGAGGAACACCUGCGGCGAAGGCGGGUUGCUGGGCUGACACUGACGCUGAAGCGCGAAAGCUAGGGGAGCGAACGGG
RNAcentral lists this ribosomal RNA (254 nucleotides) under uncultured bacterium. RNAcentral's name for it is "partial 16S ribosomal RNA". It matches the Rfam family "Bacterial small subunit ribosomal RNA", at positions 524 to 776 of the family's 1533-position model. The record is from RNAcentral.